GACGAACGCUGGCGGCGUGCUUAACACAUGCAAGUCGAGCGGUAAGGCCUUUCGGGGUACACGAGCGGCGAACGGGUGAGUAACACGUGGGUGAUCUGCCCUGCACUUCGGGAUAAGCCUGGGAAACUGGGUCUAAUACCGGAUAUGACCUCCUAUCGCAUGGUGGGCGGUGGAAAGAUUUAUCGGUGCAGGAUGGGCCCGCGGCCUAUCAGCUUGUUGGUGGGGUAAUGGCCUACCAAGGCGACGACGGGUAGCCGACCUGAGAGGGUGACCGGCCACACUGGGACUGAGACACGGCCCAGACUCCUACGGGAGGCAGCAGUGGGGAAUAUUGCACAAUGGGCGAAAGCCUGAUGCAGCGACGCCGCGUGAGGGAUGACGGCCUUCGGGUUGUAAACCUCUUUCAGCAGGGACGAAGCGCAAGUGACGGUACCUGCAGAAGAAGCACCGGCUAACUACGUG
This 462-nucleotide ribosomal RNA is filed under the name uncultured bacterium. RNAcentral describes it as "partial 16S ribosomal RNA". It matches the Rfam family "Bacterial small subunit ribosomal RNA", at positions 28 to 507 of the family's 1533-position model. The record is from RNAcentral.